This 2824-nucleotide ribosomal RNA is filed under the name human gut metagenome. RNAcentral describes it as "bacterial LSU rRNA". It matches the Rfam family "Bacterial large subunit ribosomal RNA". The record is from RNAcentral.
GUAAGGGCGUACGGUGAAUGCCUUGGUGCCAACAGGCGAAGAAGGACGCGGCAAGCUGCGAAAAACCUCGGGAAGCUGCAAGCAAGCGAUGAUCCGGGGGUGUCCGAAUGGGGUAACCUGACUGGGGUAAUACCUGGUCGUUCAUACCUGAAUACAUAGGGUAUGAAACGCAAUACCCGCUGAAGUGAAACAUCUCAGUAAGCGGAGGAAAAGAAAGAGAAAUCGAUUCCGUAAGUAGUGGCGAGCGAAAGCGGAUGGAGCCCAAACCGAAGGUACUCCUUCGGGGUUGUAGGACCACGACAUAUUCGACCAUAGUGGAUAGUAGAACAGUCUGGAAAGGCUGGCCAUAGAAGGUGAAAGCCCUGUAGACGAAAUCCAGAGUGGGAAUUAGUGGUAUCCUGAGUAAUACAUCACACGUGGAACGAUGUAUGAAUCAGCGCGGACCACCGCGCAAGGCUAAAUACUAGUUGGCGACCGAUAGUGAACAAGUACCGCGAGGGAAAGGUGAAAAGAACCGCUGUGAGCGGAGUGAAAUAGAACCUGAAACCGUAUGUCUACAAAGUGUCAGAGCAGAGCAAUCUGCGAUGGCGUGCCUUUUGUUUAAUGAGUCUGCGAGUCAGUGUUUGUGGCAAGACUAAGGGCUUCCGGCCCGGAGUCGCAGCGAAAGCAAGUCCGAAUAGGGCGCAUUAAGUCGCAGGUACUGGACCCGAAGCGGAGGUGACCUACCCUUGGCCAGGUUGAAGCAUGGGUAAAACCAUGUGGAGGACCGAACAGGUGAACGUUGAAAAGUUCUCUGAUGAGCUGAGGGUAGGAGUGAAAGGCUAAUCAAACCCCGUGAUAGCUGGUUCUCUUCGAAAUGCAUUUAGGUGCAGCGUCACGUGCUGAUGCGCGGGGGUAGAGCACUGACAAGGCUAGGGGGCACACCCGCUUACCAAACCUUAUCAAACUCCGAAUACCGUGCAAUGGAACGUGGCAGUGAGACAGUGGGGGAUAAGCUUCAUUGUCGAGAGGGAAACAACCCAGACCAGCAGCUAAGGUGCCUAAAUAACGCUGAGUGGAAAGGAUGUGGGAUUACACAGACAGUGAGGAUGUUGGCUUAGAAGCAGCCACCAUUUAAAAAAUGCGUAAUAGCUUACUCAUCGAGUGAUCCUGCGCCGAAAAUGAUUGGCGAUCAAGCGUUAUACCGAAGCUCUGGACUUUGCCGCAAGGCAGAGUGGUAGAAGAGCGUUGCAUGCGCAUUGAAGGGUGAUGGCGACUGACCCUGGAGCGCAUGCAAGUGAGUAUGCAGACAUGAGUAACGUAAAGCCGGGUGAAAUCCCCGGCCGCCGUAAACCCGAGGUUUCCAGGGCAACGUGUUUCGUCCCUGGGUUAGCCGGGACCUAAGCCGAGGCCGAGAGGCGUAGGCGAUGGAUAUCAGGUUAAUAAUCCUGAGCUCGCGACCCUUAAACUGGGGGGACGCAUGAGAAGAGAUGACCAGGUUAUUGAAUUCCGAGCUGGGUCCACGGACCCAGCGCAUCAUCAAAUCGAGUGCCAAGAAAAGCCCCAGCGUAUGCUAAGCGACCCGUACCGCAAACCGACACAGGUGGGUGGGUAGAAUAUACCAAGGCGUAAGAGUGAAACCUGGUUAAGGAACUCGGCAAAUUAGCCCCGUAACUUCGGAAGAAGGGGUGCCUGCAGCGAUGCAGGCCGCAGAGAAAUGGCCCAACCGACUGUUUAUCAAAAACACAGCACUCUGCAAAGACGCAAGUCGAAGUAUAGGGUGUGACACGUGACCAAUGCCGAAAGAUUAAGGCAAGGGGUUAGCCGCAAGGCGAAGCUCUGAACCCAAGUCCCGGUGAAUGUCGGCCGUAACUAUAACGGUCCUAAGGUAGCGAAAUUCCUUGUCGGGUAAGUUCCGACCUGCACGAAUCGUGAAACGAGUUGGGCACUGUCUCAACCAGGCGCUCAGUGAAAUUGUAGUGGCGGUGAAGAUGCCGCCUACCCGCAGAAGGACGGAAAGACCCUAUAGACCUUAACUGUAAGCUGUCAUUGUUUCUUCGGUUUUAAUGCUCAGAGUAAGUGGGAGACGCUGAAGAUGCCCUUUAGGGGGCAUCCGAGUCAUCAAUGAGACACCACCCUUUGAAACUGGAGGAUCUAACCCUGAGCCGUGAAUCCGGCCAGAGGACCGUGUCAGCCGGUCAGUUUUACUGGGGCGGUAUCCUCCCAAAGAGUAACGGAGGAGCGCGAAGGUGGGCUCAGCCCGGUUGGCAACCGGGUGUCGAGUGCAUGGGCAUAAGCCCGCCUAACUGUGAGACCAACAAGUCGAGCAGAUGCGAAAGCAGGCCCAAGUGAUCCGGCGGUAGAAAGUGGAAUUGCCGUCGCUCAACGGAUAAAAGGUACCUUAGGGAUAACAGGCUGAUCACGCCCAAGAGUUCAUAUCGACGGCGUGGUUUGGCACCUCGAUGUCGGCUCGUCGCAUCCUGGGGCUGGAGAAGGUCCCAAGGGUCCGGCUGUUCGCCGGUUAAAGCGGCACGCGAGCUGGGUUCAGAACGUCGCGAGACAGUUCGGUCCUCUAUCCUCUGUGGGCGUUGGAAAAUUGAGGGGUUCAGACCUUAGUACGAGAGGACCGGGUCUGACGCACCACUGGUGCAUCGGUUGUACUGUCAAGUGCAUGGCCGAGUAGCUAAGUGCGGAAGGGAUAAGCGCUGAAAGCAUCUAAGCGCCAAGCCCAUCCCAAGAUGAGUUUUCCCUAUAGGUUCGUGGAAGACCACCACGUCGAUAGGUCGCAGGUGUAAGUGCAGCAAUGUAUUGAGCCAAGCGAUACUAAUCACCGAUAGACUUCAUC